CCCAGACUCCUACGGGAGGCAGCAGUGGGGAAUAUUGCACAAUGGGGGAAACCCUGAUGCAGCGACGCCGCGUGAGCGAUGAAGUAUUUCGGUAUGUAAAGCUCUAUCAGCAGGGAAGAAAAUGACGGUACCUGACUAAGAAGCCCCGGCUAACUACGUGCCAGCAGCCGCGGUAAUACGUAGGGGGCAAGCGUUAUCCGGAUUUACUGGGUGUAAAGGGAGCGUAGACGGUCCUGCAAGCCAGAUGUGAAGGCCCGGGGCUCAACCCCGGGACUGCAUUUGGAACUGUAAGGCUAGAGUGUCGGAGAGGCAGGCGGAAUUCCUAGUGUAGCGGUGAAAUGCGUAGAUAUUAGGAGGAACACCGGCGGCGAAGGCGGCCUGCUGGACCGCGACUGACGUUGAGGCUCGAGAGCGUGGGGAGCAAACAGGAUUAGAUACCCGAGUA
RNAcentral lists this ribosomal RNA (445 nucleotides) under uncultured bacterium. RNAcentral describes it as "bacterial SSU rRNA". It matches the Rfam family "Bacterial small subunit ribosomal RNA", at positions 330 to 792 of the family's 1533-position model. The record is from RNAcentral.